UAAAAUUUUGAAAAAAAUACAAACAUGUUGAUGCUUAUAUUCAAAAAAUUGAAAUCUAAUCUUAAUUAAUAAAAACUUAAUGGAAAAUAAUUGUAAAUAAAGAAGAAAAGAGAACCAAAUAAAAUCCAUAAUUAGGUAGGAUAAAUUUUAUUAGAAGAUUGAAGACUAAUCCUAAUUAAUGAAAACCUAAUGAACAAAAAUCCUAAAUAAAGAAGGAAAAGA
This 222-nucleotide unclassified non-coding RNA is filed under the name Hevea brasiliensis (rubber tree). The record is from RNAcentral. Lineage: Eukaryota; Viridiplantae; Streptophyta; Magnoliopsida; Malpighiales; Euphorbiaceae.